Molecule: long non-coding RNA, 327 nt
Filed under: Mytilus galloprovincialis (Mediterranean mussel)
Lineage: Eukaryota; Metazoa; Mollusca; Bivalvia; Mytilida; Mytilidae
Source: RNAcentral
UACAUCUUCAAGUUAACAAGUAAAACACGCAGACAAACUGACAUCUUUGUUAAUAUCUUAUUUGUUCUGUAUAAAAUUUAUUGUAUACAAGUCUACAUAAACGUUUUAAAAAGUUUACUAAAUGGUUAUUGUUUCAUAAGUGUACAUAUGUAUGCUCGAAGUAUAUAUAGAAUCAGUACAUGAUACACAACAUGCGACAAAUAAAGGGGGGGGUAGUAAUGACAGGAAACUAAAUUAAACUAAGGCUUUGAUGAAUGUAAACUUUAAUAAAACUGGAAGUUACAUAAGGGGAACAGGAAAAUAAGAAUAUAUUGCAUCACUUACAAC